RNAcentral lists this ribosomal RNA (467 nucleotides) under uncultured bacterium. RNAcentral's name for it is "partial 16S ribosomal RNA". It matches the Rfam family "Bacterial small subunit ribosomal RNA", at positions 28 to 506 of the family's 1533-position model. The record is from RNAcentral.
GACGAACGCUGGCGGCGUGCUUAACACAUGCAAGUCGAACGGAAAGGCCCUGCUUUUGUGGGGUGCUCGAGUGGCGAACGGGUGAGUAACACGUGAGUAACCUGCCCUUGACUUUGGGAUAACUUCAGGAAACUGGGGCUAAUACCGGAUAGGAGCUCCUGCUGCAUGGUGGGGGUUGGAAAGUUUCGGCGGUUGGGGAUGGACUCGCGGCUUAUCAGCUUGUUGGUGGGGUAGUGGCUUACCAAGGCUUUGACGGGUAGCCGGCCUGAGAGGGUGACCGGCCACAUUGGGACUGAGAAACGGCCCAGACUCCUACGGGAGGCAGCAGUGGGGAAUAUGGCACAAUGGGCGGAAGCCUGAUGCAGCAACGCCGCGUGCGGGAUGACGGCCUUCGGGUUGUAAACCGCUUUCGCCUGUGACGAAGCGUGAGUGACGGUAAUGGGUAAAGAAGCACCGGCUAACUACGU